Molecule: transfer RNA, 67 nt
Filed under: Pipa pipa
Lineage: Eukaryota; Metazoa; Chordata; Amphibia; Anura; Pipidae
Description: tRNA-Ser
Source: RNAcentral
GAGCCGGGCGGGGACAUUGAGAACUGCUAAUUACUCACCACCGUGGUUCAACUCCACGGCCUGCUCG